GAAUGCUUGGUUUUGGGAGUUUAUAUUCUCUGGGUGCCGUCGUUAACGCUUUUAGCAUUCCGCCUGGGGAGUACGCUCGCACGAGUGAAACUCAAAGGAAUUGACGGGGGCUCACACAAGCGGUGGAGGAUGUGGCUUAAUUCGAGGCUACGCGAAGAACCUUAUCCAGGCCUUGACAUGUUCGGAUGCUGCCCGUGAAAGCGGGUUAGUUGCCUUCGGGUGAAACGUUCACAGGUGCUGCAUGGCUGUCGUCAGCUCGUGUCGUGAGAUGUCGGGUUAAGUCCCUUAACGAGCGAAACCCUUGUCCCUAGUUGCCAGCGAGUCAUGUCGGGGACUCUAGGGAGACUGCCGGUGUUAAACCGGAGGAAGGUGGGGAUGACGUCAAGUCCUCAUGGCCUUUAUGGUCUGGGCUGCACACGUCCUACAAUGGCAUGUACAAAGGGAAGCAACCUCGCGAGAGCAAGCAAAUCCCAGAAAGCAUGCCCCAGUUCGGAUUGCAGGCUGCAACUCGCCUGCAUGAAGCCGGAAUCGCUAGUAAUCGUGGAUCAGCAUGCCACGGUGAAUAUGUUCCUGAGCCUUGUACACACCGCCCGUCAAGCCACGAAAGUGGGGAGGGCUUAAAGUCGCUGAGCUAACUUCGGAAGCAGGCGCCUAGAGUCAACUCCGCGAUUGGGACUAAGUCGUAACAAGGUAGCCGUA
Molecule: ribosomal RNA, 699 nt
Filed under: uncultured bacterium
Lineage: Bacteria
Description: bacterial SSU rRNA
Rfam family: Bacterial small subunit ribosomal RNA
Source: RNAcentral